AUUGCUUCUCCUAGCAUUGUCCCUUUUAUGAUUCUGCUUUAACUCAAACUGUCAGAAAGGGUGUAGCAACAAGCAAUAUGACUGUGGUGCCCAGGAUUCCAAAAAGAAUCCUUCAGUGUUACCAUGCCAACCAGCAUCCAUCCCAAGAGUUGCCUCUGAAUAAGCCACAGUUGGAGGGGCCUCGUUCGAGAAUCUAAGUGGAGUCAAAGUUCUGCUUCACCAAGGCCCACAAAAUGGUAGCAGUAGACUCAUUCCAGUUGUCCAGAGUCCACCCACUUUGAACUUAGAACAAAGAGAACUCUCCAUCCAGAGUUUGGAUAACUCUCCCAUCAAGGUUAACUGACAUUGAGAUCACCAUGUCUUCGCAACAUGAAACAAUGCGCACCAUGCAAAUACUCUUCUUUCUCCCAGAGAAAGCAUGUGAAUGCUUGGGCAACAUUUAGAAAUUGCCGAUGUGGCAUCUCCAGGAGACUUGCUUUUUCACACAUGGCCUGAGUUCCUUCCUUCCCAGCACGCCUGCCUGCCAAAUCUCAUCCCUACCUCUGCCUGAGGCCUCCAGAUGUUAGUAGUGAUGGAUGGAAACAGGACCAGGACUGAAUCCAUACGUGGUCACAGCACCACUGCCCCUGGUUCCUGGAGGCAGCCUGGAGAGGAAGCUUUAUUCCUCAUUAGUGAGAGAGCUGAUGGCUACAUGUUGACAUGAAGGACUCCUUUUGUUGUAUUCAACAUAAAGCCCCUUUCCCCAAACUCUUACUCUGGUUUCUUUAUUUUCCUACUCCCUCUACUACCUCCAACUCUUUUUCUUUUCUUUCUUUCUUUCUUUCUUUUUUUUUUUUUUUUUGCUGGAACUUUAUUGUGGUAUAAUUUACUUAACAAAGUUUACUCAUUUCAAGUGUAUGAUUCUCAGUACAUUUAAAAUUGAGCAACCCAUAUACACCAUGGAAUACUAUGCAGCCAGAAAAAAUGAUGAGUUCAUGUCCUUUGUAGGGACAUGGAUGAAAUUGGAAAUCAUCAUUCUCAGUAAACUAUCACAAGGACAAAAAACCAAACACCGCAUGUUCUCACUCAUAGGUGGGAAUUGAACAGUGAGAACACAUGGACACAGGAAGGGGAACAUCACACUCUGGGGACUGUUGUGGGGUGGGGGGAGGGGAGAGGGAUAGCAUUAGGAGAUAUACCUAAUGCUAAAUGACGAGUUAAUGGGUGCAGCACCCCAGCAUGGCACAUGUAAACAUAUGUAACUAACCUGCACAUUGUGCACAUGUACCCUAAAACUUAAAGUAUAAUAAAUAAAUAAAUAAAUAAAAUAAAAAUAAAAUUGUGCAACCAUCACCACAGUUUAAUUUUAUCACAUUUUUAUCACCCUAUUUGCAGUCAAUUUUGGGUCCUUUCUUUUGGCAGCUGCGAUGCCUGGGCCAUCUGCUGUCACCAUCUCCUGGGAGAGAUGAUCUCGAAGAGAAGAGCCCAGAGAAAGUUCAUCCAAAGGAAGAAAGUUCUUUGUUGCUCCCACCAAAACCUCACUCUUCCCCUAGACUUGGGCUCCUAUCACAGCCUUGGCUUUGAUCCCUGAGAGCCUCUUUCCUGGACAGUACAGUGCGGGGAGAUGGUGCAAGCCCAUUUCGACUUCACACGCAUGUGAAGCUGCCAAUGUGUGCUUCUGUGGGAAGAGCAGUUAAGAGCCGGGGUUCAAAUGCAAGCACUACCAUUUACAAGCUAUGCAUUGAAAAACUAACCUCCCGGGGCUGCAGUUUCCUACUAUGUAAAAUGGAAAUCAAUAUAAAUAUAAAUAUAAAUGUA
Long non-coding RNA from Homo sapiens (human), 1797 nucleotides. RefSeq lists it as uncharacterized. Lineage: Eukaryota; Metazoa; Chordata; Mammalia; Primates; Hominidae. The transcript has 4 exons. The record is from RefSeq and is a predicted model, not a curated record.